CUAUUGGCCGGUCAGUGGCGGACGGGUGAGUAACACGUGGGCGACCUGCCCUAAAGUGGGGGAUAACUAUCCGAAAGGAUGGCUAAUACCGCAUGUGGUCCGGCAUUCAUUUGUCGGACUAAAGGAGAAAUCCGCUUUGGGAGGGGCCCGCGGCCCAUCAGCUAGUUGGUAGGGUAAUGGCCUACCAAGGCGAGGACGGGUAGCUGGUCUGAGAGGACGAUCAGCCACAUUGGCACUGAGACACGGGCCAAACUCCUACGGGAGGCAGCAGUGAGGAAUAUUGCACAAUGGGCGAAAGCUUGAUGCAGCAACGCCGCGUGGGCGAUGAAGGUCUUCGGAUCGUAAAGCCCUUUUCCAGAGGAAGAGGAAGGACAGUACUCUGGGAAUAAGUGUCGGCUAACUACGUGCCAGCAGCCGCGGUAAAACGUAGGACACUAGCGUUAUCCGGAUUUAUUGGGCGUAAAGCGCGUGUAGGCGGUGCUUUAAGUUGGAUGUAAAAUCUCCUGGCCUAACUGGGAGGGGUCAUUCAAUACUGGAGCACUUGAGGGCAGAAGAGGGAAGUGGAAUUCCCGGUGUAGCGGUGGAAUGCGUAGAUAUCGGGAGGAACACCUGUGGCGGAAGCGGCUUCCUGGGCUGCCCCUGACGCUGAUACGCGAAAGCUAGGGGAGCGAACGGGAUUAGAUACCCCGGUAGUCCUAGCUGUAAACGAUGGAUACUAGGUGUUGGUGGUAUUAACCCCAUCAGUGCCGAAGCUAACGCGUUAAGUAUCCCGCCUGGGGAGUACGGCCGCAAGGCUAAAACUCAAAGGAAUUGACGG
This 817-nucleotide ribosomal RNA is filed under the name uncultured bacterium. RNAcentral describes it as "bacterial SSU rRNA". It matches the Rfam family "Bacterial small subunit ribosomal RNA", at positions 80 to 916 of the family's 1533-position model. The record is from RNAcentral.